GCCAGGCAUAGUGGCACACACCUGUAGUCCUAGGUACUCAGGAGGCCGAGGCGGGAGGAUCGCUUGAGCCCAGGAGCUCUGGGCUGUGGGGUGCUCUGCUGAUUGGAUGUCCAUUAAGUUUGGCAUCAAUAUGGUGACCUCUGGGGAGCAAGGGACCACCAGGUUGCCUAAGGAUGGAUGAACUGGUCCAGGUUGCAAACAAAGCAAGUCAAAACUCCCAUGCUGAUCAGUAGUGGGAUCAUGCCUGUGAAUAGCCAUUGCACUUCAGCCUGGGCAACAUAGUGAGACCCUGUCUCU
This 297-nucleotide signal recognition particle RNA is filed under the name Prolemur simus (greater bamboo lemur). RNAcentral describes it as "Metazoan signal recognition particle RNA (ENSPSMG00000019115.1)". It matches the Rfam family "Metazoan signal recognition particle RNA". Rfam says of the family: The signal recognition particle (SRP) is a universally conserved ribonucleoprotein. It is involved in the co-translational targeting of proteins to membranes. The record is from RNAcentral. Lineage: Eukaryota; Metazoa; Chordata; Mammalia; Primates; Lemuridae.